RNA transcript from Acinonyx jubatus (cheetah), 3027 nucleotides. It is a transcript of the gene named acidic residue methyltransferase 1, with no coding region annotated. Lineage: Eukaryota; Metazoa; Chordata; Mammalia; Carnivora; Felidae. The transcript has 8 exons. The record is from RefSeq and is a predicted model, not a curated record.
GCAUUUUUUUUUUUUUAACCCACCUCCCUCCCUUUCUCAGCUCCUCCUUCGCGCUGGCACCGCCUCUCUUCCUGCGGCGGGUGCGACGCGAGUUUAGGCGCCGGCAGCGUGGAGAUGAUGGCGGGGUCUCCGGCGUCCCUGUCGGGACAGGACGUAGGAUCGUUUGCAUAUCUUACAAUUAAAGACAGAAUACCACAGAUCUUAACCAAAGCUAUUGAUACAUUGCAUCGACAUAAAAAUGAAUUUUUUGAGAAACAUGGAGAGAAAGGCACAGAAGCUGAAAAGAAAGCAAUUUCUCUUCUUUCUAAAUUACGAAAUGAAUUGCAAACAGAUAAACCAAUAAUCCGCUUUGUUGAGAAGUUUGUUGAUACUGACAUAUGGAAUCAGUACCUAGAAUAUCAACAGAGUCUUAUAAAUGAAAAUGAUGGGAAACCCAGGUGGUUUUACUCACCUUGGUUGUUUGUAGAGUGCUACAUGUAUCGUAGAAUUCAUGAAGCAAUUAUCCAAAGUCCGCCAAUCGAUGACUUUGAUGUAUUUAAAGAAUCAAAAGAGCAAAAUUUCUUUGAGUCACAGGAAUCUCUCAUUGCUUUGUGUACUCACCUACAAGAGUUGAGAACAACUAUCGAAGACCUAGAUGAAAAUCAGCUGAAAGAUGAAUUUUUCAAACUUCUUCAGAUUUCGCUGUGGGGCAAUAAAUGUGAUCUGUCUCUAUCGGGCGGGGAAACCAGUUCUCAGAGAACCAACAUAAUAAAUUCUGUGGAGGAACUAAAACCUUUCAUUUUAGUGAAUGACAUGGAACAUCUUUGGUCACUGCUUAACAACUGCAAAAAAACAAGAGAAAAAGCGUCUGUUACUAGAGUAGAUGUUGUUCUGGAUAAUUCUGGGUUUGAACUCGUUACGGAUUUAGUAUUAGCUGACUUUCUGUUGUGCUCUCAACUGGCUACCGAGAUCCGUUUUUAUGGAAAAACUAUUCCGUGGUUUGUUUCUGAUACUACUGUCCAUGAUUUUAACUGGUUAAUUGAACAAAUGAAAGGUUCUAAUCACAAGUGGAUGUCCAAGUGUGGGGCCGACUGGGAAAACUCUAUUAAAAUGGGCAGAUGGGUUUACCAUGAUCAUAUAUUUUGGACUCUUCCUCAUGAAUUCUGUGUAAUGUCUCAGGUUGCUCCUGACUUAUAUGCCGAACUACAAAAGGCACAUUUAAUUUUAUUCAAGGGUGAUUUGAACUAUAGGAAGCUGACAGGCGAUAGAAAGUGGGCAUGUACCAUUCCCUUUCGUCAGGCUCUGCGAGGGUUCCAUCCUGCCCCUCUCUGCAGUGUAAGGACAUUAAAGGCCGAGGUUCAGGUGGGGCUGCAGCCCGGGCAAGCUGAACAGCUCGCAGCCUCCGAGCCCAACUGGAUGACCACCGGGAAGUAUGGAAUAUUUCAGUUUGAUGGUCCGCUCUGACUUGCUUUAGGAUGUCUUAAGUUGUCUGGAAAAACCUGACAGUCGCUUGGCAUCCCCAGAAAGGCAGUGUGCGAAUUGAGUCACAGGGCUGCUCUGCCUGGCUCUGGGAAGCCUGGCUUCUCGGUGCUCCCGUAUGUGCACUCUGGACGCUUCUCUCUUCGAACGUUUUGCCCCACGACAUUGUUUGGGAGAUAGACGGAGUAAGCUAGUUACAGAGAUUUACGUUUCUGUUGGCAUUUUAGUAACUUAUUUCAAGUUAAAUGCAUAAUUUCAAGUGGUACUAAUGAACUUAUUUUUAAUUGGGCAGAAAGUAAAAUAAUGCGUGAAUUCUGCUUUUAAAGUUCGUUAACAUUCUUUUAAUGCUAUGCUGCAUGGUAUUUAUAAGCAUGGGAUUUUAUUUAACUUGUUUUGGCGCUCUAAAAAUAAGGGCUCUGGGAAGACAUUUUAAAUACGCUUUGAAAAGAGAGGGAUUUCUUACAGCUGUGACAUUUGAACAAUGGACGUAAAGAUUACUUACCUUAUAAGUUAGUUUUAAAUUUUGUUCUCCUUGAAUUUUAUUUCCUUUUAAAUACCCUGUUUUAUUUGCACGCCUUUGUAUUUUGAUUGACCUGCGGAAUGGACACUAGGAAACCCAAGGUUGAACAGAAACAACUGGUAUUUGAAGAACCGUGGUACCUUUUUACAUUCUAUUUGCAAUGUCCAUGAUCAACUGAAAUGUAGUAUUUUAACACGUUAUUUAUUUAUUUUGAGAGAGAGGCAAAGAGAGAUGGAGAGAAGGAUUCCCAAGCAGGCUCCACACCAUCAGUGCAGAGCCCCACGUGGAGCUCAAACUCAUGGAACCAUGAGAUCAUGACCUGAGCGGAAACCAAGAGUCAAACGCUUAACCAACUGAGCCGUGCAGGCGCCCCUUUAUUUCCUAAACAGAAAGGGAUUUGAAUUUCUGAAACCCCAAUAAUGGUGAUCUUAGAGAAGAUCCAUCACUACCUUCCAUUACUGAGCCUCUCAGGCCUCACUCCACUUCCAGUCCGCCUGGGUGCUCAGACUCCAGAUCGUCCCUCUCCUCCUCACCUCCACCCCCAUUCCUACCAGAGCCAAAUCUCAGGGGGUCCCCAACAGCCCAUCCUGAAGACCUCCUCGCCCUGCCUCCACCUCCUCCAAUGCAUCCCGCCUACUGUUGUACCGUUGUCUUCCUCUGGGUGCAACUUCCUAACAGUGCUCUUCCAAAACUUGAGCAGCAGAAGAGUUCCUAGACACCACGGCCCAAAUUCAGCCUGGCAUUGAAUCUGGAAGAAGCAUUUCCAGGAGGUGUACUAGGUCACACAGCUGGUAGCUUUCUGCCUCUGUUGUUGUUAUAAAGGAAAGCAGAAGUCUGUACCGAGGUAUGAAGGAUCAUAAUAUACUAUCCACACAUGCAGUUUCGUGAGAAAUCUAGGCUGGAACUUGCUUUGUUCAUCCUUAUCUCCCUCCCUUGCUUAAUUAAACCGUCAUCAUGCCCAGAAUCCCCCCACCGUCAGCUUGCAUGUUCUACAGCAUUGUGCCAGCUGGUCCCAAAUUGUGGUCCUUUCCACAGUCCAGCUCAGGCCU